This is a long non-coding RNA of Alligator mississippiensis (American alligator), 5191 nucleotides long. RefSeq lists it as uncharacterized. NCBI's taxonomy places the organism in Eukaryota, Metazoa, Chordata, Crocodylia, Alligatoridae. The transcript is spliced from 2 exons. The record is from RefSeq and is a predicted model, not a curated record.
GCCCCUCGUGCCCGGGCCGCGGCCCGGCUUGUCCCGGCCGGAGAGGAGCCGCGGUGCCGCCCGCACGGAGCCGACCCUCGCCCGCAUCACGUCGGGCCGGGGGGCGCGGCUGCCCGGGACUCGUGCCCUUUCCCGGCGCAGCUGGUCCCGGUCUCGGGCGCUGCCUGCGGGCGCUGCGGGCCGGGCUCUGUGCGGGUGCUGAGCUCCUCUCCGCCGCGGGCCCUGCCCGGCUCCCUCGGCCCCGCUCCCCCGGCCGGGCGAUGCCUCCUGCAGGCGGGGCGGGCGGGCGGGACGUGGCCGGGGCAGGGCAGGGGGCAUUGCCCACCUGGGAGCCUGGCAGGACGGGCACUGCGCUCGUGGGCAAUGCAGAGCGAGCAGGGAAGGCAGUGAGGUUUGGGGGAGGUGGAGGCUGCAGGGCUGGGGGUGGCCAGGGUCUGUGCAGGGCGCAGGCAGGGCAGGAGCCAGGAGGGGCUGAGUGGGCACGGCUCAGGCAGGCGGGCGAGGGGUCUGUCUGUGCUGGCAGCGGCAGGGCACCUGGUGCCGGACUGCAGGGUUUGCACAGCAGGCCCUGCAGCUGCUCCUGCUGUUGCCACCCUUGCUGCUUGUCCCAGGAGAAGAGGGGCAGCAAGGUCCUUGGCCUGGCUCUGUGUCGCUGGGUCCCUGCAGGAGCUGCUCCAGUUGUGCUGGGGCUGAGCCCAGGGGAGAGCAGGCUGAGGGGCGAGGGCAGGGAGCGGGAUGGAGCUGGGGGUCACAGAGGAGUUGGGAGGUAGGGGACAGGCUGUGGGGCCCUAUGUGGGACAGUGCGGUGGGGGAUGUGGGGCCAGACGGGCUCUGAGGGCAGUGGUUUAUGGGCAGGUGGGUGCUGCGGGGAGGGGAGCUGUGGGGCCAUGUGGGAGCUACGCAGGAGAUGGGUGGGAAGGCCAGGACGGGCCACAUGGGGCUGAGCCGGGGAGCAGGAGGGUCCUGUUAAAAAAUGCUUUCAUGUGGUUCGGGACUGGCCUCAGGACACUUCCCUCUGCAUCCUGCCUCCCGGCUGGUGCCAGCCAUAUCCUUUCUGCCCAGCAGGGCUAGCUCUGGAGGCGCUGUUCUUGGGGCUGGUAGGGGUGGGCUCUGAGUGCAGGGGAGCACAGCUGCAACUUGGCACCGGGGCUUAUUAGUGAGCGAGCACAAGCCUAUAAAGCCAUGACCAUAACCCCCCGGGAGGAGUGGGUUGGGGGAGCAGGGAACUUAGGGAGCCAAGACCAGGAGGAGGGCUGGGGAACAGGCCACUGGGGCGCCAGCCAGGACAAGGUUCCCCUAGCCAGCAGUGCUGUGGACUCCCCUCUGCGUGGGGCUGGGAAAGGAUAUGCUUCCGACAGGUUUCAAAGUUUCAUAGUUGUUUGGGGCUGGAAGGGACCUUACAGAUCAUCGAGUCCAGCCCCCCGCACUCAGGCUCCUGGUGUCUCAGUUAAAAGAACUGGUGCUGGGACAAUGAUCCAAAAUGGCCCCAUAAUACACUUAAGGUCCCUACACCAUCAGUGGGUACAUUUACAUGUGCCUUUACGGCGACAUGAUAAACCCUGGCACAGUUCGUGCUGGUAUCGGCUGCUCUUGGGUGCAGCGUCUUCAUGUGCCUGGGGCCAAGCAAUCCCGUGCUAGCCGUGGCAGCAGGCCGUGGGGCUCAGCCCCAGGCUCUGGGUGGCGGCAUUGGGCAGCAAUAGGGGCUGGCAGAAGCAGAGGAUCUGGCCCCUGGCUGGCUGGGCUAGCCCGGCACAAUUAACAUGCCCUAUCAGUGUCUACAUGCGUUUUUACAUGCAGUUAUUUUCACUGCCAUAAGAUCGUACUAUCCCUGCUAUCUUAUGCUGCAAAAAUUAGUUACAAAUCCACAUUUGCCCAUCAUUUAAAUGAAACACCAUUAAUAUAUCUAUUAAUGUAUCUCUAUGUAUUUAUCCAUAGACAGCGAGAGUGGUGGUUCAGUUUAACCAUGGGAAAAAGUGGAUUUGGAGUUACUUUUUUUUAGGCUGUAUUAUUCUCCCAGGGAACAGAACGAAGAGAGGAGUGAGGAGCGGGAGAGUUAAGAUGCAUGUGUAAGUGCCCAGGCUUAAGUUUUAGGAUGCAGGAAAGGAGUCGGGCUCACCAGGCAAAACCAGGCAUCUCCGACGCCCUGGGCAGCAGCAGCAGAUGGGACAGUGGUGGCUCCUGGCUGCUGGCAGAAGCAGGUGUUAUUUUUCUGCUCUCUUCUAAGCCCAAGCCAGCACACGACUGCUGAAGCCUAUUUGGCCCCCAAGAGACCAACAGAGAUUAUAGCUGCUGCUACACCACCCCCGCCCCCCGUUCCCCACCCACUCACCCACUCAUACUGGAUGGGAUGCAGGGGCUGGGAAAAGACCUGCACUCAUCAGAUAUUCUUGGUUUUCCAGUAUAGAGAGCUGCUGCUACAGGGGGGAGUCCCAGGGCUGUGUAGGAAGCUGGGAGCCAGGGCUCUUGGGAACUAUUCCCAACUCCAGGAGGGGAGGUGAAUCCUGGGUUUGCAGCUGAGGGCCGGCAAGGCACAGGAUCUACAAGCCGUGCACAGGAUAACCUAUUUGCCAUGUGCAAUGGACAUGAGACCCUCAACCCAGAACUGAAACUCAAUCCCCACCUACGUGUGGCCUCACCAGCCUGGUGUCUACGGCCCAAGGAAAGCCGUCUCUGCUCUGAUUAAUCGCCUGCUCGUGAUUGCCGCCGUGAAACCCGCUCUGGGAAGCGGGGUGCUCAUUCUAAAGUUCAUGCCAGAAACUAGGAGUCCUGUGUCCUCUCCCUGCCUGCAGGAGGGCAGUGGGGUUUCUUGCAUUAGAAAAAGCCUUGGACUGGAUCUUCUCUCUGAGUCUCGGAUUGAGGUUUUAUCUUGGGGUCUGGAGAGCAGCAGUGGUUAAAGCAGAGGGGGUGGGGGCCAGCACUGCUGGGCCCAGGUCUGUCUCUGCCAUGCCGCUGGGCUGGGGAUUGUUGGGUUAUUUGCAGGGGGCAGAGGAAUGGAUGUUUCUGGAGGUUGCAAUAUCGUGACCCCCCACCCCUCCCCAGAGCUCCCUGCCCCACUCAGUGCCUGUGAGCACCGCAGUAGAAGGAGCUGCUGGACAAAGGCAUGGGAGCUGCCCUGCCCACCCCCAUGCCAGCCCCCAGCUGGCUCUAUAUAAUGGGGAAGGAAGGGAAGAAGAGUCAGAGACUCAGCCUUGCAAGCAGCUGGACCAAGGCCUUGCUGCUGCAUAGUCCCAGCACAGGGGACGUGCAGAGACAGAACCUCCAUGGGUUGCUUCUGGGAGUGCUGAGAUCAGACUUGGGGCAACAAAAAGAGUCAGAGAAGGGGAAAGCCUCAGUGCGGAUGCCUGCAUGCUCUGCCUACCUAUGGGAGGGAAGAGGGGGACGUGGGGGUCACACCAGCAAUACUUGGAAUGAGAGCAAAGGAGAGAGAGAGUCCAAGUGAGACCGAGGGCUCGCGAGAGGCUGGUGCUGUGACCCAUGUCUCCCUGGGGGUGCAAGAGCUGGGCCCCUUCUCCUUCCUGCAGGAUGACCGGUUUCGAACGCCAUGUGGGAAUCUCAAGGCCAAGUCCCAAGACUGGCUAUGGUGGUUGUCUCAAGCAGGGUUGGAAAGCUGUCAGGACUGCUCAGUGGCUCAGUUUCCCCAAGAGCAGAAGAGAACUAUCAUAACUUCCUUGUGUCCCUUCUGCAUGUCUGCUAUGUGAUUAUCCAGCUAUGAUCCGUGUGGGUCCGUGCACGCACCAGCACAACAGGAGCCCGGACCCAGUGUUGGUGUGUGCAGCACCCAACUCAGCGCAGCCCUGAUCUCAGCACAAGUCAGUUCAGUCCCUAGUGCUGUGCUUCCCACCCAGUGUGCCACGCACAAAAGCGUGCCGUCAGACGUGAAGGGGCGUGCCACCGAAUUCUGCCAUGGCAACGAGCUACAAUAGCCGAUCGAGUGGCUCUGAGGAAGCCAUGUGUCCCAGGGGCCCCGUGCCACCGUGCUGCUGAUGUUCCUCAUGCUGACCCUGAUGUCUUCCUGGCCGACCGUGGGCAGCUGGGAAUCACAAAAUGACAUGUUCCAGAGGCAGCACAUCAGCGAGCUGUCACACCCGCCCUUCAGUGAUACCUGCUGCAACACGAGGAUGUCAAGACAGAAGAUUACCACUCCUGCAUGAAAGCCCUGCAACACCUUCAUCCAUGCAGAUUUAUCAACAGUAAGAGCAAUCUGCACACGGUACAACAGGUAUUACAGCAAUGAUAGCUUCUGUGUCCCCGACUGCAAAUUUAUAAGAAAGGACCCACGACAAGGCGGUGUGUACUGUGCAACCACUGUCUCCUGGAGUAUUUAAUAACCUGUGAGUGAGUCCAGGGAUCUGGACUGGUGCCUGUCCACUAUGGCAAAUACAAAGAGUGCUUCCCCUCGUAGCCAGGGGUAGGGCAAGCGUUGACACCACUGCAUCCUUCAGCUUUCUAAAUCUACUUUUCUGCAAUAUAAAGCCAUUGCUUCUCAUCUGACCUGCUGCAGCAAGGAAGAAAAAAUGUUCUUUUUUAUGGCAGCCUUGUGGUAGCCAGAACCAGAGGGGUUAGUAUCAUGAGCAAUAAAUAUAUGCUCUUGGAGACAUCCAGGCAAUUGUUUAGCAGUUAAGAUUAGCUAACGCAAAGCUGGCAAGUUUGCAACCCACACAUGGAAUUUGUCACAAUUUAACCAAAGUGUUGAAUCUAACUGUUCGCACUGAUCUUGAGACUGACUAGGUCCCAAAAUAACCCCAGACUACAAGAUUAGCUGAUCUAACAGGUUUUUUAAAUGUCAGCCAUAACAAGAUCUGACCACCUAACAUAAUUAGCACAUUCCUAGGAAUCCAAGGAAUAAGAAACCAAGGGGUUGAGCGUGAGCAGGUAAUGCUAAUUUCAAACCUCAAAGUAAUGUGGCAUAAUUUGCUUAUUGUGUGAACCUGAGUUCAGACGGUAACCUUUCAUGAUAAUUUCUAACACCUUUUGACCCAAUAGGAUAACAGCUAUAGUGCAAGAUUGUGAGUGGCUCUAAAGCCAACAGAUUAGCAUAAGGUAAGGCAUAAAGGAAUGCGCAUGUCAAGUGACCAGAUAGAAGGACAGGACAGAAGGACUAUCACUGUACCAAGCCUGGACCCCAGACUCCCACUGUUAGCAAGGUGAUUGGAGGGACUGGGAUAGUCUACAUUAAACCAAAUUUAGCCUC